Molecule: long non-coding RNA, 559 nt
Organism: Puntigrus tetrazona (Sumatra barb)
Lineage: Eukaryota; Metazoa; Chordata; Actinopteri; Cypriniformes; Cyprinidae
Exons: 3
Source: RefSeq, a predicted model, not a curated record
AGCACUGGACAGCACCUUCUCUCUAGCUUAUCUUUCUGGGGAUUUGUUAUUGUUGGCUGUUGUCUCAUUUACAUGCAUGUCCACGCGAUCCCUCUCUGUGAAGUGUUUACUGGAGCACUUCAUUGAUUCACUAGCCUUUGGAGCUCCAAAUGUUCCUUCUCGUGGGGUUUAUUUGGCCGGGUGAGCAGUCCGAAGCUCAUGCGUCAUUAAAAAUAAAUGGCGAAAAAUGAUAGGGGAGCACGCACUGGAUCGCAAGAUUAAUGAGAAAGCUCUCUCGGGCUACUGUUUACGCGAAGUCUGAAUUAAACACACUUAAAAGACGAAGUCAAUUCGUUUCACCACAAAUGCCAGAUAUUUCACGUGAGAAAACUGUUUUUUCUUAAACGUGAAUGAAAGACACGGGCGCGCGCAGGGAGUCUGACACAACUGUUUCCUGAGUCAACGGGAUCGGGCUGCUAUAUCAGGGCCGUCGCAAAGGGAUGACUGGAACGGAUCCAAAGCGUAACGGAUAUUUCUAAUCGGUUCUCUUGGACCUGUAAAGCUGGACUGUGAAUAAUGA